This 2645-nucleotide long non-coding RNA is filed under the name Sus scrofa (pig). Its description in RNAcentral is "lncRNA (ENSSSCG00065072979.1)". The record is from RNAcentral. Lineage: Eukaryota; Metazoa; Chordata; Mammalia; Artiodactyla; Suidae.
GUGGCUCUUCUGCCCCUUCCCAGCAGCCUGGGAGCUAUUUGCUUUCCUGUAAUAAAGACUGCUUGCUUGCUGCCUGUGUGUUCCCGGAGUUCAUUCUUUGACUGCGUGAACAAGAACCCAGAUUCUGGUAACAUCUUUCCGGCAUCACUUUCAUGUUCACUGUAUUUCAGAGUUUAGAUUAGUGACUGACUCCUGUAGUUGGCGCUCAGUACUUAGCAUGGUGUGUCUGAAAAAUUACAAAGAGCCCAUUGUUGCUUAGACAAGGGAAGGAGUCACCAGAGAUGAAAAUGGAAGACAGGUCAAGAUAGGUUGCCUAGGACCGCAUGAGCCUGGACGUAAUCAGUGGGGGUUAAUGAAUGGAGGUGAAUGAUCAGUAUGUGUUUUGGACAGGUUCCUCGGGCUGCAUUGUCACAUGUGCAUUGGAUGGGGUAGAGACUAGAGAUCUGGGGUUGGGAGCCAGGUUAGUGUAGAAAGGAGACAGCCUGGACAGAUACGACUUUGUCCUAGAACUGAAGGGACCACUGCUGAAGAGGAGAAAUCUCUAAUAACAUAGGUUUCCAUCUGGGCCCAGAGGUUGAAGUAUGAUACUGUCAACUAGAAUGGGCAUACGAGCAGAGGGAUGAGACCAGUCCUGGAGUUGUGUGUAUGAAAUGCUUGAAGGAAGUUUAAGAGGUGGCUCUUGGGACCUGGAAGACCUACAUUCCCUACACAUAAAGGGGGUAGAACUUGGGAACCAGCGGCAAGGUGGGUCUCACAUGAGUAAAAACUCAAAUUCCCCCAAAAAACUCAAAUGGAACCACCCCUGUGGUAUUGCCACUUCUGCUUUCUUCUAGAAGCUAGCGCUGAAGCUGACCUCAGGACUAUCUUAUUUUCCGAAAGGUAUGUUGGCACAUAGUGUGUGCGUAGACUCACCUCCUUUGAGCUUUUACACAGAGGAUUUGUUGCAGGCAGUUUAGGGGAGGUUUGUCUCCAGGGCCGAGAGGUCUGUGACAGGGCUUUUCAUCCCUCCUCCUAACUUCCUUUCCUGUCAGGAAAGACAUGUCAGGAUUUGUGGAAGUGAGAUGGAUGAAGGUCCUCCUGUACUGGUUCAUUUGUUUUCUAAUUAACCUGUGAGUAUUUAGGAGUGAGCUCCAGAGUGGGGACAGCUUGGACAUAAAGAUGUUGGAAUUUUCAGGCAGUACCUGAAGCUAAGGGAGUAGGUUCAUAUCACUCAGGGAAUGUGUUUACAUGAGAAGAGACUCAAGGGUAGAACCCCUUGGGACACCAACAUUUCAGGGAUGGGCAGAAUUUUAGGAGUGAGUGAAAAACAAAACUGUCCAGAGAGGUAUAAAAAGAAGGAGCAAUAUUUCAGAGGCCAGAAAAGAAGAACUCCAUAGAGUCCAACACUGCAGAGAAUUCAAAUAGGAUGAGGAAUUCAAAGAAGACCUCACAUAUUAUCUUUCAUAUGACCUUUGAGGUUUUUAGUGACCUUUGCCAGAAGGAGUUAUCUUUAGCACUGUAGGAGUGGAAGCCAGAUUCCUGCGGUUGAAGCACUAAUGAGAGGAAGGUCAGAAAGUUGAAGCAGGAAGUAAAAACUUCUCUUAAGUAAUUUGGUGGAGGAGAGCCAAAUGGAAAGGCAUGUUCUAGAACUGGGAAAUGCAGGUAUGUGAAAAAUCAGGAACAGGCAGCAGGCAGAGACUGGAAAGAUAAAAGAAGGUAAUCGAUAUAGCCAGAUCCUGGAAAAGGUGGCCAAGCCAGGAAUCCAGAGCCUGGUCCUCCUCUUGUCUGGAAGAUUGUCACCUUACAUGUAGAUUAAGCAGAACGGCUAGACAGUCUGGUGAGUGGAAAAUAGAGCCACAUGCACUAGGGAGUUGAGGGUAGUAAAGAUUUGGAACAACUAUUUAGAUCACUGGCUCUGUCAAAAAGCACAUAUCAUUGUUGGUCACUUUGGGGGAAAAAUGGAGUAGAAGUCAGUCCUCCCCAUGAGAUCCUGGCAUUCUAGUUGGUCCUGGCCAAGACUGCAAGAGCUGAGAACCCUCAAGUGUUUGCCUUUGCCAUAACAAAUCAAUCUCUUUAUCUAGAUCUGAACUGCAGAGGGUCAUUCUGCCCUUGAAAAGAAACCAAGAUAAAAGGAAACAGCUCUCAGGAAUUAUAAGCAAAACACAACCAGACACUCACUGCGGAUUGCCCCAUUUUCCACCUCUUUAAUGUUUACUGAAUGCCUGCUAUGUGCAAGAUACUGAUUCUUCCUCUGCUGUGACUUUUGGAUAAUCCAGACUUGAAUUGAGGGGGCAUUGCUGGCUUGAAAAUGAUCCAAGAGCAGAAGAAACACUUCUCAAAAUCAUCCACCAAACAAACAAAAAUUGAGAAACGUAGAUUUUUUGUUUGUUUUUUCUCUUCAAGAAUGAACCAGGACUCUAACUUUGGGUUUUCAGUAAGUCAUAUAUCCUGUCUACUAAAGCCUUCCAUUUUCAUUUUUUGAUUCAUCUUAUCUGUAAGACGAAUUAAUCACACACUUCUAUGACUUCUCCUUUGGCCACGUUAUCAUUCUCAGACUGUCCUGAAUUGAAUUAUUAGGAAAUACAGGCCUUGGAAAUGAAGCCAAGAUAAAAGGAAAAUACUCAUGUCCCUACUUUCCCUUAGGAAAUAAAGCAGAUUAAAGUAGU